This 498-nucleotide ribosomal RNA is filed under the name uncultured bacterium. RNAcentral describes it as "bacterial SSU rRNA". It matches the Rfam family "Bacterial small subunit ribosomal RNA", at positions 8 to 518 of the family's 1533-position model. The record is from RNAcentral.
AGAGUUUGAUUCUGGCUCAGGAUGAACGCUGGCGGCGUGCUUAACACAUGCAAGUCGAACGGGAUUAUUGGAAGCUUGCUUUGAAUAAUCUAGUGGCGGAACGGGUGAGUAACGCGUGGGUAACCUGCCGUAUGCUGGGGGACAACAGUUGGAAACGACUGCUAAUACCGCAUAAGCGCACAGGGCCGCAUGGCCCAGUGUGAAAAACUCCGGUGGCAUACGAUGGACCCGCGUCUGAUUAGGCAGUUGGCGAGGUAACGGCUCACCAAACCGACGAUCAGUAGCCGGCCUGAGAGGGUGAACGGCCACAUUGGGACUGAGACACGGCCCAAACUCCUACGGGAGGCAGCAGUGGGGAAUAUUGCACAAUGGGGGAAACCCUGAUGCAGCGACGCCGCGUGAGUGAAGAAGUAUUUCGGUAUGUAAAGCUCUAUCAGCAGGAAAGAAAAUGACGGUACCUGACUAAGAAGCCCCGGCUAACUACGUGCCAGCCGCCGC